RNAcentral lists this long non-coding RNA (1021 nucleotides) under Cricetulus griseus (Chinese hamster). Its description in RNAcentral is "lncRNA (ENSCGRG00015037170.1)". Lineage: Eukaryota; Metazoa; Chordata; Mammalia; Rodentia; Cricetidae. The record is from RNAcentral.
GGUAAGAGGAAACAUUGUAAAUGUGGCAACUCCUCAUAAGCUUGCAAAGCCAGUGUAAUAAUCCCAACUGAAGUAUCAACAGAAUUGUUUGCUUUUCGAGACAGGGUUUCUCUGUGUAACAGCCCAGACAGUCCUGGAACUCGCCACCAUCGGCUUGCUUCAGCAGGAUUUUUAAAAGAACUUGGAAGAGCUCUCCUUGAAACAUGGCAAAGAAAGGGUUUGUGAGAUGGCUCAGCAAGGAAAGGUGGUUGCCUAGCAAGUCUGACUGUCUGAGUUCGAUCCCAGGAACUCAGGUGAGAGAUUUAAAAGAUCUGAAGUGCUGCUUAUCACCCCAAAAAAUUCCAACCAGCCCAGGAAUUCACAGCUUGUCACUGAAUGUUUCAGAAGGUCCAGGAUGUAGAGAGACCCUGCCUCAAAAAGAAAAAGGAAAAGAAAGCAAUACUCCAGAAGACCCAAGUGAGGCAUCCUCAGGCACACCUGAUUCCUAUACAGUUGGCAUCCUCAGGUGAUAACCUUGGGCAGGCUGAGGAACAGGGUCCUCACUGAUGUGUCUCAGCCUCAGCCCAGUGGCCCAAAUAUAUGUUGCAAUCAGUGCAGGGACUAGGAACCUACUUUUCAAACAUCCAGCCGCCUGCAGAAUUUAAAUUGGACACAGACACUAGGUUACUGUGGCUGGAGUAUCAUUCCCUCUGAGGGAGGGCACCUGAGUCCCUCCCUGAGGCUCCCAGGGAGGGAAGGAGGGAGGGAGGGAGGCUGGGAGGCUGCCCCUCAGGGACCUCCAGUUCCAUGUCCUGCUGCUUCAGCAACCUGUCUGGGUAAACUGCAUUAAUCUCACUACCUGGGAAAUAUUACUCUGGUGUGACUCAGGGAUCCUGGCAACAACAGAACUAAAUGAGUUUUCCUAAACCCCAAAUGCACAGGCAGGUCUCGGUCUCUCUCUCUCUCUCUCUCUCUCUCUCCCUCCCUCCCUUCCUCCCUCCCUCCCUCCCUCCCUUGAUGGCUCUCAGUCUCCAAACCUGAG